Molecule: ribosomal RNA, 301 nt
Filed under: uncultured bacterium
Lineage: Bacteria
Description: partial 16S ribosomal RNA
Rfam family: Bacterial small subunit ribosomal RNA
Source: RNAcentral
CAGCCGCCGCGGUAAUACGGAGGGAGCUAGCGUUGUUCGGAAUUACUGGGCGUAAGGCGCACGUAGGCGGCUAUUCAAGUCAGAGGUGAAAGCCCGGGGCUCAACCCCGGAACUGCCUUUGAAACUGGAUGACUGGAAUCUUGGAGAGGUCAGUGGAAUUCCGAGUGUAGAGGUGAAAUUCGUAGAUAUUCGGAAGAACACCAGUGGCGAAGGCGACUGACUGGACAAGUAUUGACGCUGAGGUGCGAAAGCGUGGGGAGCAAACAGGAUUAGAGACCCGCGUAGUCCCUGUCUCUUAUAC